RNAcentral lists this ribosomal RNA (637 nucleotides) under uncultured bacterium. RNAcentral describes it as "bacterial SSU rRNA". It matches the Rfam family "Bacterial small subunit ribosomal RNA", at positions 202 to 835 of the family's 1533-position model. The record is from RNAcentral.
CAAAGGAAGCGAUUCCGGCAACGGAUGGGCAUGCGUGACAUUAGCUAGUUGGCGGGGCAACGGCCCACCAAGGCGACGAUGUCUAGGGGUUCUGAGAGGAAGGUCCCCCACACUGGUACUGAGACACGGACCAGACUCCUACGGGAGGCAGCAGUGAGGAAUAUUGGUCAAUGGGCGCGAGCCUGAACCAGCCAAGUCGCGUGAGGGAUGACGGCCCUACGGGUUGUAAACCUCUUUUGUCGGGGAGCAAAUUCCGCCACGCGUGGCGGAGUCGAGAGUACCCGAAGAAAAAGCAUCGGCUAACUCCGUGCCAGCAGCCGCGGUAAUACGGAGGAUGCGAGCGUUAUCCGGAUUUAUUGGGUUUAAAGGGUGCGUAGGCGGACUGUCAAGUCAGCGGUAAAAUACGGGGGCUCAACCUCCGCCCGCCGUUGAAACUGACGGUCUUGAGUGGGCGAGAAGUAUGCGGAAUGCGUGGUGUAGCGGUGAAAUGCAUAGAUAUCACGCAGAACUCCGAUUGCGAAGGCAGCAUACCGGCGCCCAACUGACGCUGAAGCACGAAAGCGUGGGUAUCGAACAGGAUUAGAUACCCUGGUAGUCCACGCAGUAAACGAUGAAUACUAGCUGUCCGGGGCGAAUG